AACUGUCUGUCUGCCAUGGCCUCUUCCAAACGUGAUUCUCUGUGGCCUCCGCAAAAUGCUUCUGUGCCUGAUUCAGUACCAUCACAGGAGUACCGAGCAAAACUUUAUGACAGCACGACUCGUCUGCUUGGAAUGGUGACAACCAUUACAUUUGAGAAGAGUAUGACACAACAAACUUGUUUGCCGAGCUAUCCCUAUUUUGAGGGCAAUGACCAAGGAGGGCCAAUCCAUCCAUCUCCCUCAAUACAAGAUUGCUCUCAAGCAUCCCUUGCAGACCAGCAUUAUCAAUGCAUUUCAGAGUUGGUUCGUCUGCAAAAGGAAAGACAUAAGGUUGGAGAAUUUAUAUGCUACAUCAGGGAACUUCCUGGCAUUGAACUUCCCAAAGACUUCUUUCAUGCAUUUAUGAGCUAUGAAAGAGCUGUUCUUUGUUGCAAAAUACAGUUGCAAAUGGUAGAUUGGCUUUCCAAUUGCCAGAACCUUCACUUUUCAGACCUUGUUGAAGCAAGAAAGGCACUGUGCAGUAUGUGCCGUUGCACAAAGAACCUUCGCGAGAUGCUCUCCGAUGCGAUGCAAAAGAUCAUUUAUUUUCUGAGUUAUGCAGAUUGAAAUGAAUUUAAUGCAAUCUGAUCUCUUUCAUUCUGAGAGGAUGUCUGAUGUUAUCAUGUCAUGACAUAUUCAUUUCAUUCACUUGGAAAAUGUUUUGAUGCUUGCUUUACCUCUAGUUUUACCACUCUUGCAUGCCAAUUGUGGUGUAAUAUCUUACUCACUUUCUUACUCAUAUAUAGAUCUCACUGCUGGCUCAUUUUAAAGAUAAAAUCAAGGAACUCACCACUCAAAAAGAUCCAAUUUGGAACAAACGAAUAAACAUGGAUUUGAUUUUCCCUCCCCUUCUCCCCCACACUCCAACAUCCAUGAAAAGUGCAUGGAAAAUUCAUGCAAAUGUGUAUAAUGAGGCAGCCCUUUUAAAAUUAUGACAACAAAGCAUGCUUUUGAGUAAAUAAUUUUAUUAGGAUAAUUUUUAAGCACAUUCCAUUUUCCGCUACAUGACUGUUCUUAUAUUUGUGGGAGUUUUUUUCUGUUCAUUUAAUGCCGUAGUAUCAUGUAUUGUCUGUCACCACUUUCAUAAUUGAUGUGGUUUCAUUUGUUGCUCAAAGUUUUGACAUUUAAAAAUGUUUUAUCAAACGUGACUUGUGUGACUUUUUGAGACUCGUGUGAUGCUCAUUUGGUGUGAGGAGGUGUGUAAAAGGUAAGCACUCUUAUGUGGUGAGAUGCUUAGAGUCAUUCAUGUGCACACCAAAAUUAAUUUGCCAGGCACCUACCCAACACUUCGGAGUGCUCGCAUGCAUAGCGUCC
RNAcentral lists this long non-coding RNA (1353 nucleotides) under Eptatretus burgeri (inshore hagfish). RNAcentral's name for it is "lncRNA (ENSEBUG00000017449.1)". Lineage: Eukaryota; Metazoa; Chordata; Myxini; Myxiniformes; Myxinidae. The record is from RNAcentral.